GAUGAAGAACGCAGCGAAAUGCGAUACGUAAUGUGAAUUGCAGAAUUCAGUGAAUCAUCGAGUCUUUGAACGCACAUUGCGCCCCCUGGUAUUCCGGGGGGCAUGCCUGUCCGAGCGUCAUUGCUGCCCUCAAGCACGGCUUGUGUGUUGGGCCUCCGUCCUCCUCCCGGGGGACGGGCCCGAAAGGCAGCGGCGGCACCGCGUCCGGUCCUCGAGCGUAUGGGGCUUCGUCACCCGCUCUUGUAGGCCCGGCCGGCGCUUGCCGACACAUCAAUCUUUUUUCCAGGUUGACCUCGGAUCAGGUAGGGAUACCCGCUGAACUUAAGCAUAUCAGUAAGCGAGGA
RNAcentral lists this unclassified non-coding RNA (344 nucleotides) under soil metagenome. Its description in RNAcentral is "partial contains 5.8S ribosomal RNA, internal transcribed spacer 2, and large subunit ribosomal RNA". The stretch from base 1 to 120 matches the Rfam family "5.8S ribosomal RNA", at positions 35 to 154 of the family's 154-position model. The record is from RNAcentral.